GCCUUUGUGGGCUAAUGGUAGCACACUCGGCGCUUAUUCGAGAGGUCCAGGUUCGAGUCCCGGCGAGGGCA
This 71-nucleotide transfer RNA is filed under the name Stegodyphus mimosarum. It matches the Rfam family "tRNA". From Rfam's summary of the family: Transfer RNA (tRNA) molecules are approximately 80 nucleotides in length. The record is from Rfam by way of RNAcentral. Lineage: Eukaryota; Metazoa; Arthropoda; Arachnida; Araneae; Eresidae.